RNAcentral lists this ribosomal RNA (301 nucleotides) under uncultured bacterium. RNAcentral describes it as "partial 16S ribosomal RNA". It matches the Rfam family "Bacterial small subunit ribosomal RNA", at positions 509 to 807 of the family's 1533-position model. The record is from RNAcentral.
CAGUAGCCGCGGUAAUACGUAGGGUGCGAGCGUUAAUCGGAAUUACUGGGCGUAAAGCGUGCGCAGGCGGUUAUAUAAGUCAGAUGUGAAAUCCCCGGGCUCAACCUGGGAACUGCAUUUGAGACUGUAUGGCUAGAGUGUGUCAGAGGGGGGUAGAAUUCCACGUGUAGCAGUGAAAUGCGUAGAUAUGUGGAGGAAUACCGAUGGCGAAGGCAGCCCCCUGGGAUAACACUGACGCUCAUGCACGAAAGCGUGGGGAGCAAACAGGAUUAGAUACCCCAGUAGUCCCUGUCUCUUAUAC